AAUGAACGUUGGCGGCGUGGAUUAGGCAUGCAAGUCGAGCGAGAACCGUAGCAAUACGGGGACAGCGGCGAAAGGGACAGUAAUGUGUAGGUACCUACCCCCGGGUUCGGGAUAGCUGCGGGAAACUGCAGGUAAUACCGAAUAAUGUCUUCGGACCAAAGGUGUGAUUCCACCUGGGGAGGGGCCUGCAUCCUAUUAGCUUGUUGGUGGGGUAACGGCUUACCAAGGCGACGAUGGGUAGCGGGUGUGAGAGCAUGACCCGCGUCAUUGGGGCUGAGACACUGCCCAGACGCCUACGGGUGGCUGCAGUCGAGGAUCUUCGGCAAUGGGCGCAAGCCUGACCGAGCGACGCCGCGUGCGGGAUGAAGGCCUUCGGGUUGUAAACCGCUGUCGUAGAGGAGGAAAUGCAGGAGGGUUCUCCCUUCUGUUUGACCUAUUCUAGGAGGAAGUACGGGCUAAGUUCGUGCCAGCAGCCGCAGUAA
RNAcentral lists this ribosomal RNA (482 nucleotides) under uncultured bacterium. Its description in RNAcentral is "partial 16S ribosomal RNA". It matches the Rfam family "Bacterial small subunit ribosomal RNA", at positions 28 to 523 of the family's 1533-position model. The record is from RNAcentral.